This 429-nucleotide ribosomal RNA is filed under the name Bacteroidota bacterium. Its description in RNAcentral is "Bacteroidetes bacterium partial 16S ribosomal RNA". It matches the Rfam family "Bacterial small subunit ribosomal RNA", at positions 355 to 776 of the family's 1533-position model. The record is from RNAcentral. Lineage: Bacteria; Pseudomonadati; Bacteroidota.
UAGGGAAUCUUCCGCAAUGGACGCAAGUCUGACGGAGCAACGCCGCGUGAGUGAAGAAGGAUUUCGAUUCGUAAAACUCUGUUGUUAGAGAAGAACAGCGCAUAGAGUAACUGUUAUGCGUGUGACGGUAUCUAACCAGAAAGCCACGGCUAACUACGUGCCAGCAGCCGCGGUAAUACGUAGGUGGCAAGCGUUGUCCGGAUUUAUUGGGCGUAAAGCGAGCGCAGGCGGUCAAUUAAGUCUGAUGUGAAAGCCCCCGGCUCAACCGGGGAGGGUCAUUGGAAACUGGUUGACUUGAGUGCAGAAGAGGAGAGUGGAAUUCCAUGUGUAGCGGUGAAAUGCGUAGAUAUAUGGAGGAACACCAGUGGCGAAGGCGACUCUCUGGUCUGUAACUGACGCUGAGGCUCGAAAGCGUGGGGAGCGAACAGG